AUUUGUAUAUUUCUGCAGCAGUCAGUCUCUUUCAAAAUAUGGGAACAGCAAGUUAAAAUAAACUGUCUUAUUGGCAGAACAGAGUGUGAUCAUGAGACACCAUUCAGCUUUUAUGCUGAUUCAUCAGCUCACAGUGAAACGAGCUUGCAUGAGAGCAUCCCAGGACCACUGAACAUUCAGAGAUGCUGUGCUGGGGCCUGGGCAAAGCCAGGCAAGAAGUGGUUCCUGCUAUCAGGCUGACUAACAUCUAUCAGAAAGAACAGAUCACGACAUGGUAUCCUGCUAUGUUGACGAGGCUGGUCUCAAACUCCUGGACUCAAGAGACUCUCCUGGGCCUCUCAAAGUGUUGGGACUACAGAGAUGGCCGGUUCCUGCCUUAACUGAUGACAUUCCACCAAAAAAGAAAUGAAAAUGGCCUGUUCCUGCCUUAACUGAUGACAUUCCACCAAAAAAGAAAUGAAAAUGGCCUGUUCCUGCCUUAACUGAUGACAUUAUCUUGUGAAAUUCCUUCUCCUGGCUCAUCCUGGCUCAAAAGCUCCCCUACUGAGCACCUUGUGACCCCCACUCCUGCCCGCCAGAGAACAACCCCCUUUUGACUGUAAUUUUCCUUUACCUACCCAAAUCCUAUAAAACGGCCCCACCCCUAUCUCCCUUCACUGACUGUCUUUUCAGACUCAGCCUGCCUGCACCCAGGUGAAAUAAACAGCAUUGUUGCUCACACAUAGCCUGUUUGGUGGUCUCUUCACAUGGACGCACAUGAAAUUUGGUGCCGUGACUCAGAUCCGGAGACCUCCCUUGGGAGAUCAAUCCCCUGUCCUCCUGCUCUUUGCUCCGUGAAAAAGAUCCACCUACGACCUCAAGUCCUUAGACCCACCAGCCCAAGGAACAUCUCACCAAUUUUAAAUCAGCAAAAUGACAUGAAUGACUGAAAAAGCAUGUGGAGCACAAGACUCAAGAACUAAGUGAAAGGACUCACACUUCCUGAUUUCAAGUAAAGCUACAGCAAUCAAGACGUGGUAUUGAUGUAAGAAUAGACACAUCAAUGAAUGAAACAGAAUACAUCUUCCAGAAAUAAAUUCACACAAAUAUAGUCAAGAGGUUUUUUGUGUGCUAAAAUGUAUAUAAUAUUUACCAUUUUAACCAUUUUUAAGUGCACAGUUCAGAAGCACUAAGAAUAAACAACGUUGUAUAACCAUCACCAUUAUCCAGUUCCAGAAUUUUUCAUCACCUCACACAGAAACUCUGUACCUAUUAUCAACAAUAAAUUUUCAUUCCCCCCUUGCCCUCAGUCUCUGGUAACCACUAUUGAACUUUCUGUUUCUAUGAAUUUGCCCCUUCUCAGUGCCUAAUAUGAGUGGAAUAAUACAAUAUGGGUCCUUUGUGCCUAGUUUAUUUCACUUGCUGUAAUGUUUUCAAGGUUCAUCCAUGUUAUAACAUGGAUCAGAAUUUUAUUUCUUUUCAAGCAUGAAUAAUAGUCCAUGGUAUGUCUAUACCACAUUGUUUAUCCAUUCAUCAGCUGAUGGAUAUUUGGGGGUUGUUUCUAUCUUUUGGCUAUUGUAAAUGACGAUGUUAUGAACAAUGGUGUAUAAUGUCUAUUUGAGCACUGCUUUGAAUUGUUUGGGGUAUACACUUAGGAGCGGAAUUACUGGAUCAUAUGUCAAUUCUAUGUUUAAUUUUUGAGGAACUGUCGAGCUGUCUUUCACAGCUGCUGCAUCAUUUUACAUUCCCACCACAAUGCAUAAGAGCUUCAGUUUCUCAAAAUCUUUACCAACAUUUAUUUUUCUUUUUAAAAAUAUAUAAUAGCCAUACUAAUAGUAUAAAAUAAUAUUUCAUUGUGCAUUUGAUUUGCAUUUCCCUAAUGAUAACUGAUGUUGAGCAUCUUUUCAUGUGCUUGUUGACCAUUUGUAUAUCUUCUUUUGAGAUAUGUCUAAUCAAGUCUUUGUCCAUUUUUUAAUUGGGCUGGGUAUUAUUCUUCUGUUAUUGUUGAGUUGCAGGAGUUCUUUAUAUAUUCUGCAUAAAAGUUCCUUAUCAUAUAUUGAUUUUCAAAAUCUCUCUCCUAUUCUAUGGGUUGUUUUUUUUUUUUUUUUUUUUUGCUUUCUCAACAGUGUCCUUUAAUGUGUAAAAUCUUUUAAUUUUGAUGAAGUCCAGUGUAUCUAUUUUUUUUUGUUGUUGCCUGUGAUUUUGUUGUCAUUUUCAAUAAAUCACUGCCAGAUCUAAUGUU
This is a long non-coding RNA of Gorilla gorilla gorilla (western lowland gorilla), 2221 nucleotides long. RefSeq lists it as uncharacterized. NCBI's taxonomy places the organism in Eukaryota, Metazoa, Chordata, Mammalia, Primates, Hominidae. The transcript is spliced from 5 exons. The record is from RefSeq and is a predicted model, not a curated record.